This 211-nucleotide long non-coding RNA is filed under the name Lathyrus oleraceus (garden pea). RNAcentral describes it as "Pisum sativum (pea) long non-coding RNA (PSAT_LNC036695)". The record is from RNAcentral. Lineage: Eukaryota; Viridiplantae; Streptophyta; Magnoliopsida; Fabales; Fabaceae.
UCUUCAUCUCUUUCUUUUCCUCUUGAUCAAUUGGAUGGUUUAUAUCCAUCUUGUUCAUGAUGCAUUGAUUGGUACUUAAUGAACUUUUAUCAUUUCAAAUCUACCUCCAAAUUGAUCAUGGAUCAUUUAAGGUACUUUGGAUUGAUGCAUAAGUUUGUCCUAAGUACUAUGAAGUACGGAUUUAAGUAAUGAACUAUCCUCCUAGCCUUUG